AUUAUUUGAAAUGUUUGGUUGCUUUCACAAUGGUUUUAAAGUAGCACAUUGAACAACUACAAGUGAAAAUCUACCAGAGGCUAGAGGCAUUAACAAUUCUAAUUGAAAUUUUCCAAUUCAUUCUUUUGCUUCUAUGUUCAAGUAUUUGGGAAAAAAUAUAGUCAUUUCAAUUCUUCAUCAGUGUGAGUCACAUUCAUUCCUGCGCAAGCUAAGAUUGGUAAUUUAUUCGAACAACUGUGACUUACAUAUUGGAAGUUUGUUAUGGAACGAUGGAUAUCUUUUAAGUAUGCUCUUGUUCUUGGAAAUCAUACCUUACAACUAUUUGUUAUUUGUUGUCAAUGUAGAAAACCUUUUUCUUUUCUCCGUUCAAUUGGAUUUGCAGCCGGUACUUCUGUCUGUGCCAAGUAACAAGUCCUCGCAUCCUACAUUUUAUCUUUGUGCUUGUGCCUUUUUGUGACUUGAAUUACAUUACUCUCUUUGUUGUUAAGCUUGCUCAUCUUUGUUUAAGCACACUAUUUGAUCACUUAAUCUCAUAUUCAUGAUGUCUCUACUACUCUCUGCUACAAUGUUAAAUCUAUAUACUAUGUUAUAAUGGCAGGGAUACGUGGGAUCUAAUAAGAAAAGAAAUAGAGUUCUUCAUUCAGUACUGAAGUCCACUAUAUAGACAUGUUUCAUCCACACACAAACUCUCUUAUGUACAACAAGGUUGCUUCAAAACAAAAAACCAUCUACAAAAAAUAGUGAAGUUAGAUCUGCUUUUCGAAUUUCGUCAACACUUCAAUUAGGACCCCAAUAGCUCAAAUACAUCACUGUCCAGAGAGAUUCCUCAGCCUGUUUGUAUCUGUUAUCAUUGCUAUCCUUAUCAGCUUUGUUAUAGGCCAAUUGAUUAUAAGCACCGACAUUUGUUCUCACCUGCUUAGAAGAUCCAGAAGGGAAGGCAGAAGUAGAAGCAGAGUCAUGACUUGCUUUCAUGGCUAAGUCACACUUCGGAGACUUCUCUUUGAUUCUCUGCAUCACUGGUAAAAACACCCUGCUCAUGCUCUUUGAUAUCGUUCAAAACCAAUAAGACUACGUAGUCUCUUGAAAGAGAGUUGAAAGAUGGCUUCAAAAUAUAAGAGGUUUGGUGGUUUGUGGCCCUCAAGUUUUAGGAAGGUGGGGGCUGAAUUUGGCUUGAAGUUAUAUUUAUAUAUAGACGACAUAGAAAAGACAAAGAUGGAUCCAACAUUUAAAAAAUGCUCCACCCGUUGAAUGAAAUCUAGUGUAGAUUUGAUUGAUGUCUAUUCCAUCCUAUGGUUCAAUGCCUUCAAAUUAAUGGUUAUGAUUGAAGAACCACUUGGCCUCAUGAACAUAUUUCAUAUUUUAGCGCAUAAAAACAGUAACAAUGUUGGAGUUAAGCCAAAAACAUAGUAAAAAAUAAUUGCCACUCAAUUAAACUGUAUCAUGAUUUAAGGCAUGUUUUGCUAAUAUUUGUUUACACUAAUAAAUUAAUAUAACCAAUAUUUGUUUACACACAUAAAUGUUAUGUCCAGGUUCCAGUGGAUCUUGUCAUUGACAAUUCUGUUCAGGUUGAUGUGGCAGGAAGUGAAUGCAAUGCAGGCAAAUAUGGGGCUUGAAUUUCAGAGAAACAAGGAGAGGAGUUGUUGGCUGGGGAGUUGGAGGAAUUGAAUCUGAGGCUACAAUGCUUCGCUAGGUAUUUUGAGAUAAUAAUGUAUUUUCUUUAUGAUUUUCUAUACGCUUGUGCCAAUUGUUAGUGUUUGCAGUUAUUCUUUGGUAGAUAGACAUGCAUGAAAUGGGUAGCUGUUUUUUCUUCUUUUUCCUCCAAAGGUGCAAAAGAAAAUGCAGCUUCUGCUUCUUCAAAACCUGCUGCUGGUGCUGGUGAUAGUAACUGCAAUGUAUCCCCCCCUCCCAAAAAAAGAGUCAGAAUUUUUUUGGAGAGAUGCAAAAUAUGGUCCAAGAAUUAAAGAACUU
Non-coding RNA from Camellia sinensis, 1968 nucleotides. The record is from RefSeq and is a predicted model, not a curated record. Lineage: Eukaryota; Viridiplantae; Streptophyta; Magnoliopsida; Ericales; Theaceae.